GCUCCCGGAUGUUAGCGGCGGACGGGUGAGUAACACGUGGGUAACCUGCCUGUAAGACUGGGAUAACUCCGGGAAACCGGAGCUAAUACCGGAUAGUUCCUUGAACCGCAUGGUUCAAGGAUGAAAGACGGUUUCGGCUGUCACUUACAGAUGGACCCGCGGCGCAUUAGCUAGUUGGUGAGGUAACGGCUCACCAAGGCGACGAUGCGUAGCCGACCUGAGAGGGUGAUCGGCCACACUGGGACUGAGACACGGCCCAGACUCCUACGGGAGGCAGCAGUAGGGAAUCUUCCGCAAUGGACGAAAGUCUGACGGAGCAACGCCGCGUGAGUGAUGAAGGUUUUCGGAUCGUAAAGCUCUGUUGUUAGGGAAGAACAAGUGCAAGAGUAACUGCUUGCACCUUGACGGUACCUAACCAGAAAGCCACGGCUAACUACGUGCCAGCAGCCGCGGUAAUACGUAGGUGGCAAGCGUUGUCCGGAAUUAUUGGGCGUAAAGGGCUCGCAGGCGGUUUCUUAAGUCUGAUGUGAAAGCCCCCGGCUCAACCGGGGAGGGUCAUUGGAAACUGGGAAACUUGAGUGCAGAAGAGGAGAGUGGAAUUCCACGUGUAGCGGUGAAAUGCGUAGAGAUGUGGAGGAACACCAGUGGCGAAGGCGACUCUCUGGUCUGUAACUGACGCUGAGGAGCGAAAGCGUGGGGAGCGAACAGGAUUAGAUACCCUGGUAGUCCACGCCGUAAACGAUGAGUGCUAAGUGUUAGGGGGUUUCCGCCCCUUAGUGCUGCAGCUAACGCAUUAAGCACUCCGCCUGGGGAGUACGGUCGCAAGACUG
Molecule: ribosomal RNA, 830 nt
Filed under: Bacillus sp. (in: firmicutes)
Lineage: Bacteria; Bacillati; Bacillota; Bacilli; Caryophanales; Bacillaceae
Description: bacterial SSU rRNA
Rfam family: Bacterial small subunit ribosomal RNA
Source: RNAcentral